RNAcentral lists this ribosomal RNA (641 nucleotides) under Candidozyma heveicola. RNAcentral's name for it is "eukaryotic LSU rRNA". The stretch from base 97 to 641 matches the Rfam family "Eukaryotic large subunit ribosomal RNA", at positions 1 to 552 of the family's 3401-position model. Lineage: Eukaryota; Fungi; Ascomycota; Pichiomycetes; Serinales; Metschnikowiaceae. The record is from RNAcentral.
UUUGAGCGUGAUAUCUUCUCACCGCCUCCUUGAGGCAGUGGAAUUGCCAUGCCAAAGACUAGCCCUCAGCAAAGUUACGCUUCUGCUGACUGUUUGUCCCCUCAAAUCAGGUAGGAUUACCCGCUGAACUUAAGCAUAUCAAUAAGCGGAGGAAAAGAAACCAACAGGGAUUGCCUCAGUAACGGCGAGUGAAGCGGCAAGAGCUCAACUUUGGAAUCGCUCCGGCGAGUUGUAGUCUGGAGGCCGCCAGCCCCGGCUCCGUGUGCGCGGCUAAGUCCUCUGGAACGAGGCGCCAGCGAGGGUGACAGCCCCGUGGCCGCAAGCAGCAGGAGUCGCUUUGGCGAGCCGACGAGUCGAGUUGUUUGGGAAUGCAGCUCUAAGUGGGUGGUAAAUUCCAUCUAAAGCUAAAUACCGGCGAGAGACCGAUAGCGAACAAGUACAGUAAUGGAAAGAUGAAAAGCACUUUGAAAAGAGAGUGAAACAGUACGUGAAAUUGUUGAAAGGGAAGGGCUUGCAGGUAGACUACUGUCAGCAUCGGGUGGAGGGGAGCGAUAACGACCUUUUAAUGUAGCAACGCGCUCUGCGGGUUGUAUUAUAGAAUUGGUUAAUAGCUCCACCCCCGCCCGAGGAUCGCCUAUGAA